Long non-coding RNA from Lutra lutra (Eurasian river otter), 497 nucleotides. RefSeq lists it as uncharacterized. The transcript has 3 exons. Lineage: Eukaryota; Metazoa; Chordata; Mammalia; Carnivora; Mustelidae. The record is from RefSeq and is a predicted model, not a curated record.
GGCAUGGUUACAUGAUUACUUUUCAUCCACUAAAGCUCACAUUUCAGGUGCAUCUCCCUCACAGAAUGAAACAGCGGAGCACGCAGUGUUGCCACCAAUGUCCCACUGACAGAUAAGGGACCAGAGGAAGACAGCUGCUGGGAUUCGGACGCAGAUAGAUGGCCUUGGGAGCCUGGGUUCUCACCCACUACUCUAAACCCAGGGAUUUCGAGAAAGGGGGAUGUUUCUGGCUGCUGGAAUCGGGGAAUGAACGGCAUUGCAGCUGAGCUUAGGGCUGGGGAGUUUCCCCCUGGAGAUGGAGGAAGUGUCUUCCGUGCCUUGAAUGGGUGGAGCCUGGUGGACAAAGAGGAGAGGGAGUCAAAUUUCACCAGCCUCUGAUGCAGAGCUCCAGCUCAGGAUCCUGAGAUCAUGACGGAGAUGAAAUCAAGAGCCUUUAAGACAUUUCUGAUGUGAGUUUUGAAGGACUGGGGGGAUUUUGAUUCAUUUGCAAGUGGCCA